RNAcentral lists this ribosomal RNA (200 nucleotides) under uncultured bacterium. RNAcentral's name for it is "partial 16S ribosomal RNA". It matches the Rfam family "Bacterial small subunit ribosomal RNA", at positions 29 to 256 of the family's 1533-position model. The record is from RNAcentral.
AGCUAACGCUGGCGGCAGGCCUAACACAUGCAAGUCGAACGGAUCCUUCGGGAUUAGUGGCGGACGGGUGAGUAACACGUGGGAACAUGCCCUUUGGUUCGGAACAACUCAGGGAAGCUUGAGCUAAUACCGGAUAAGCCCUUCGGGGGAAAGAUUUAUCGCCAUUGGAGCGGCCCGCGUAGGAUUAGCUAGUUGGUGGG